Macroventuria anomochaeta is the source of this 98-nucleotide non-coding RNA. NCBI's taxonomy places the organism in Eukaryota, Fungi, Ascomycota, Dothideomycetes, Pleosporales, Didymellaceae. The record is from the annotation of a RefSeq genome assembly.
AAUCAAUUCAGCCGAGUGGUCUAAGGCGCUGCGUUUAGGUCCGUUCUAAACAUCCUCCGCAGUCAGUAAUGGCGUGGGUUCGAAUCCCACUCUGCUCA